GGGAGCUGGGGCCCCCGGGGCGGGCGGGGAGCGGGAGCCGCGUGUGGAGGAGCCCCGGGGAGGCGGAAUCGGAGCGAGUUGUUCGCGGAGGAAACUUGCGGCCGGCCGGGCGAGUCGCGAUAGUUGUGUCGUUGCGAUAGGGAGGUGGAAAAACCACCGAGGCUGGGUGUCAGUUCGGGUUCUUUCUCCUUAAAACAAACGCGGGGUUUGGGGUGUGUUUGGUUAUCGGAAGUUGGGCGCUGAGGAAAUUCGGCUUUUUUACUUCCCCUCGCUAAAAUACGCUUUAAUGUCUUCUGGUUAUUACUCUGGAUUUAAAUUUUUUAUUUCAGUUUCCACUUGCUUUGCCGCGCGGUUGUUGGGCUGGUUUCUUUGGGGGUUGUGUGGCAGGGACAGGCCUGGGACAAGUUCUGACCUCUGCUUCCUCGUGGCUUAAAAACGGGUUUUAGUUUUGCGUUUUUUUUCUAUUACAGUUGAUGGUUGGUACCUAAAAGAGAAUGAAAUGGUGUUUAUUUAGCAAUUCACAGCUCGUAGGCAGGGGAGGAAUUAGGAUUACAGCUCCCAAGAAGUGCUGGAAAUGAAGAUAACAAUCUCAGUGUGCCCGUAGUAAACAACAAAAACACCGAAGAACUCUCCCGUAUUUUUAAAAAAACCACACUUUUCUCCAGUUUGAAGGUCAUGGAAUAUUCAGGUUCCUCACAGAAAUCCUAUUUUUAACCAUUAAAUGCUUGUACAUCACCCACGUGUUAAGGGAUGAGUUUAGACAGGAGUUGAGAGCUGUCGGUGAGUUUUUAUCCCCAGCCAAACAUCCUGGACCUGGUUUUUGUCCCUUUUAUUUGCAAAAGCUGCCCCAGGUGGCUCUGUGAGGGGAGCAGGGAGCUCAUCCAGCUCCACAGGUGUGCAGGGCAGCACCGAGGGAAGAUUUCUCCUGUCCUGGGGGUUUCCAGACACAAAUUAAAUCCAUUUUUAUGCCUGAAAGUGCUGGGUGACAGCAGAGAUGUGCUCAGGUGGCUGUGUUUGUCAGCUCAGAGCUGUGGGGUUAUUUUCUGUUUAUUUGCACCUUUUGGAUUUGGUAGAAUUGAUCCAGUUUGGGCAUUGAGAGAUCAGAAUUAUUUUCUACCAGCAGUAAAAUCCCUGUGACUAUACAUUCAAAGAGAAUCUUAAUCACAUUUAAUUUUAAACCUUUAAUGGGUUGUGAUCACUCCAGAGCUCCCAGUAGGGAAUUUGUGGCCAAGGAGAAGAAAAACCACCCCAAAAUCAGCCUCCUAAGCUGAAAGUCCAGACAAGAGGAUUAUUAAUUGGCCUCUUUUUUUUGUCUAAACAUGUUUGAAAAACCUUUGAAGUCAAAGUAAAAAAAAAAAAAAAUAAAAGCUCUGGAGAGCACCUUCAGGUACUGGUUUUGUCUCCUGGCUAAAAGAAAAAGAAUUUAGGUUGCUUUUUUUUAAAAAUCAGGGUGGUUUUGAGUUUCUGCAAACUUUUGUGGUCAUUUUGACGUUAGAAAUGUCAAUUUUGGGGAGGGGCUCUCAGAGGUGGAGUGAAAUAAAACAAAGCCCAGGAUCUGCUCAGACCUGCCCCUCUCAACGGGCUCAGGGCUGCUAAAAUGACAAAAUCUGGGGUUUUUCAAAAGGUUCUGGGCAAAAUUUUUGCUGCCCUCAGCAGAUAAUUGAAGUUUGUUGUUCUUUUUGGCAGGAGGCAUCUUAAAUAAUGACUUCUCCAAUUGAUCAGGGUUUGCUUAAUGAAAUAUUAGCCCUGUGAUUAUAAUUAAAGCUAAUUAAAUGAAAAAUUUAUUUGGAGCUGAAGAAUAUUGGAGGUGGAAACUUCUGCUCUGCUGUUUCUGGGGUCUUUUUACAAAGAUGAGUUGAGCAAUGCAGGGCACCUCAUGUUUUAGGGAAAUUUGAUGUAUUUAGUUUAAAAGAACAAUAUAUUUAUUUCCCCACUCUUUAAUUAAUAAUUUAAUGGUGUUACAAGUGAUUAGUGGUCAAUUGCCCAAAGUAAGAGUAGAGCCCAAACAUUUUCUGCAGAACACUCUAUUUCCAUUGUUCCCUAAAAUUAAAUCAACAUAAGAAUUGAUUUUCUGGAAUGUUUAAAGAGGAGUUUCAAAUCCUCUGAGCAGCUGUGGCUGCCCCUGGAUACCUGGAGUGUCCCAGGAGCACCCUGGGAUCAGGGAAGGUGUCCCUGGAACCCCAAACCAUCCCUGGAGUGUCCCAGGAACACCCUGGGAUCACAGGGGUGCCUCUGGAACCCCAAACCAUCCCUGGAGUGUCCCAGGAGCACCCUGGGAUCACAGGGGUGCCUCUGGAACCCCAAACCAUCCCUGGAGUGUCCAAGGAGCACCCUGGGAUCACAGGGGUGCCCCUGGAACCCCAAACCAUCCCUGGAGUGUCCCAGGAACACCCUGGGAUCACAGGGGUGCCCCUGGAACCCCAAACCAUCCCUGGAGUGUCCCAGGAGCACCCUGGGAUCACAGGGGUGCCCCUGGAACCCCAAACCAUCCCUGGAGUGUCCCAGGAGCACCCUGGGAUCACAGGGGUGCCCCUGGAACCCCAAACCAUCCCAGGAUUCUCUGCAGUGUCCCAGGAGCACCCUGGGAUCACAGGGGUGCCCCUGGAACCCCAAACCAUCCCUGGAGUGUCCCAGGAGCACCCUGGGAUCACAGGGGUGCCCCUGGAACCCCAAACCAUCCCAGGAUUCUCUGCAGUGUCCCAGGAGCACCCUGGGAUCACAGGGGUGCCCCUGGAACCCCAAACCAUCCCUGGAGUGUCCCAGGAGCACCCUGGGAGCAGGGAAGGUGUCCCUGGAACCCCAAACCAUCCCUGGAGUGUCCCAGGAGCACCCUGGGAUCAGGGAAGGUGUCCCUGGACCCCCAGACCAUCCCUGGAGUGUCCAAGGAGCACCCUGGGAUCAUAGGGGUGCCCCUGGAACCCCAAACCAUCCCUGGAGUGUCCCAGGAGCACCCUGGGAUCAGGGAAGGUGCCCCUGGAACCCCAAACCAUCCCUGGAGUGUCCCAGGAGCACCCUGGGAUCACAGGGGUGCCCCUGGAACCCCAAACCAUCCCAGGAUUCUCUGCAGUGUCCCAGGAGCACCCUGGGAUCAGGGAAGGUGCCCCUGGAACCCCAAACUAUCCCAAACCACCCCUGCAGUGUCCCAGGAGCACCCUGGGAUCAUGGGGGUGCUCCUGCUGGGCUUUAGGGUCCCUUCCCACCCCAAACCACCCCUGCAGUGUCCCAGGAGCACCCUGGGAUCGUGGGGGUGCCCCUUCCCACCCCAAACCAUCCCUGGAGUGUCCCAGGAGCACCCUGGGAUCAUGGGGGUGCUCCUGCUGGGCCUUAGGGCCCCUUCCCACCCCAGACCACCCUGGGAUCGUGGGGGUGCUCCUGCUGGGCUUUAGGGCCCCUUCCCACCCCAGACCACCCUGGGAUCAUGGGGGUGCUCCUGCUGGGCUUUAGGGCCCCUUCCCACCCCAGACCACCCUGGGAUCAAGGGGGUGCUCCUGCUGGGCUUUAGGGCCCCUUCCCACCCCAGACCACCCCGGGAUUCUCUGCAGUUCUCCCUCCUGCCUCCUUUUCCCCUCUGGACCCUGGGUGUGGGUGAGCUCAGCUCCUGGCGUGGCUCAGCGAGGCUGGGCCAGCUCCUAGGCUGGCGGUCCGGCCUAGGCAGGCUGGGUUUAAUUGCCAGGGCUAACAAAGGCUGUUCUGUCCGGGCCAGACGAGUCCUUGUUGCUCAGGUCCCAUCUGGAAGCGCCGCUCCCUCCCAGGGGCGAGGCUUUCCCAACUUCCUCCUCGGGAAAGGGAAAGCAAAUCAGCCUCGCCGGGGAUCCCAGCAGGGCCCUGAAGGGAAAGGCACAAACAGCAGCUGCCUUUGCCACCCGACCGCAAAAUGUGGGGUUUGGGGUGCCCUGAGCUGAGAGUCCAUCAGCAGGGUGGUGCUGAAGCCUCGCUGCAGGACUUUGCUAGCACAAUACCUGCUGGAGUUGAAGUGCAGUCACAGUUCUUGUUGCAGCUUGAAAUGCAGCACUUGAAAGCAGAGCUGGGUGAGGAGGCUGCAGGUGUGCUCACCUGGGGCUCUGCUCCUGGCCUGGGUGGCUGUGGGGGCUGGGAUGUUCUGUUAGCCCUGAGCUGGGACUCCCAGGCAGCAGGAUCCCAGAAUCCCGGCCUGGUUUGGGUUGGAAAACUUAAAUCCUAAAAGUGCCAGAGGCAGGGACACCUUCACUGUGCCAGGGUACUCCAAAGCCUGUCCAGCCUGGCCUUGGGCACUGCCAGGGGUCCAGGGCUGGUCACAGCUGCUCUGGGAAUUCCAUCCCAGCCAGGGAUCCCUUCCCAAUAUCCCACCCAGAUCCCCCUUUCCAGUUUAAACCCAUUCCCUGUGUUGGGAUUCCAGUCCUUGUCCCAAAUCCCUCUCCAGCUCCCCUGGAGCCCCUUCAGGCUCUGGAAGUGGCUCCAAGGUCUCUCCCUGGAGCUUCCCUCCUGCAGCCUGGCCUUGAAUCCCACAGGGAACAGCCCCCAGUUCCCAGCAUCCCACUCAUCCCUGCCCUCUGGAGCCACUCCCUGUGUCCUGUCCCCCCAUCCCUGGUCCCCAGUCCCUCUCCAGCUCUCCUGGAUCCCUUGGGGGCUGGAAGCCUGGGUAACACCAUCUUGUCACCUCCUCCAUGGCAUCAGGGACUGCCAGGGUGGCUGGAAGGGCCUUCAAUCCCAAUCCCAGGGACACCUCCUGCUGUCCCAGGCUGCUCCCAGCCCCAUCCAGGGCCUUCAAUCCCAAUCCCAGGGACUCCUCCCACUGUCCCAGGCUGCUCCCAGCCCCAUCCAGGGCCUUCAAUCCCAAUCCCAGGGACUCCUCCCGCUGUCCCAGGCUGCUCCCAACCCCAUCCAGGGCUUUAAAUCCCAAUCCCAGGGACACCUCCUGCUGUCCCAGGCUGCUCCCAGCCCCAUCCAGGGCCUUCAAUCCCAAUCCCAGGGACUCCUCCCACUGUCCCAGGCUGCUCCCAGCCCCAUCCAGGGCCUUCAAUCCCAAUCCCAGGGACUCCUCCCGCUGUCCCAGGCUGCUCCCAACCCCAUCCAGGGCUUUAAAUCCCAAUCCCAGGGACACCUCCUGCUGUCCCAGGCUGCUCCCAACCCCAUCCAGAGCCUUCAAUCCCAAUCCCAGGGACACCUCCUGCUGUCCCAGGUGCUCCCAGCCCCAUCCAGGGCCUUAAAUCCCAAUCCCAGGGACACCUCCUGCUGUCCCAGGCUGCUCCCAGCCCCAUCCAGGGCCUUCAAUCCCAAUCCCAGGGACUCCUCCCACUGUCCCAGGCUGCUCCCAACCCCAUCCAGGCCAUCCUGGGGCGUUCCCAGGGAUGGAGCAGCCCCAGCUCCCUGUCCCCCAGCUCAGUCCUGGCCUUGUUCUGUGUCCCAGGGAAUGUCUGGAGGCAGCAGAGGAGCCAGGCAGGCCCGGCAGUUUUUGGGAGCAGUUUUGUGGCACCUCAGUGCUCGGCCUGGAGCUGCCAAACUCGCCGUGCCAGAAGUUGCAGCCAACAUUUUUUGGAGCAGAGCAGUGGCCCCCCUGCCACCCCAGCUGCCCGUGCCAGGUUUUUAAUCCAGUGCACACAGGCUGACAUCACAGGAGGGUUUGGAGCAAUCACUUCCUCAUCCAGAGCUGCCAAGGGCUGGGGCUGCACCUCACAGCCCAGGUGACAUCACUGCUGCCACCCCGAGGGCUGGGACAGCACAGCCACUCCUGCCCUGCACAUCUCUGCCUUCUCUGCCUUAAAAAAACCCAAACUGAACCCAAAAUUUAAUGCUCUUUUUAAAAAAUAGGAAGGCAGUUUUGUAUGAGCACCCAAAAAAUGUGUUUAAGUAAAACAUUGUGGGUAGAAAUGCCUGGGAAUGCUUGUGAGGAGUUCAGAUAAACUCCAGGCUUUGGAAUCCCACCUGUGCCAGAUCAGGCCUUAUUUAUCUUUUCUGAAAUGGCUCUGUCAGUUGGAAAUGGAGAUUUGAAGUGGAUGUUUCUGUGCUGACAGCUGGGCAGAGUCUGGUGGGGUUUGCCCUCACCCCACUAAUGGGGUUGUGCUGCUCCUUCCGUGGGCUUGGAUCCCUUUUUCCAUCUUCCCAUUGCACUUUCAGUUCCUUUGGGUUGAUUGUUCCUGUGAAAAGGCAGAGCUUGGAGGUAACUCCAAUAAAAGGCAGCCCAUUUAUUUAUUCUAUUUUAUUUAAAUGCUCCUCAUUUCAUUUGCAGGGCUGGAAACGGAGCUGGUGCCUUUGAGGGCAGGUCCUGAUGGCUCAGGGCAAGUGGGAAGUUGGCUUGGGACUUUAACUCUUGCAAUUGGCUGUUAAAUGUUUAAUGUGGAUCUCUCCAAAUGAGGAAUAAGCUGAGCUUGUUUCCUUACAGCCUGAAGAGAGCAACUUUUUUAUUUCUUUUUUGAUGUCUUUUACAAAAGGUUUUGUGUUCUCAGCUUGCUGUCAGAAUGAAGUUGCACCUCCCAGAGAAAUCACAUUAAGUUGUUAUAAUAUUGUAUUCAGAGACAAAGGCCUUGAGUGAUUUUUGUCCUAUUUGGUUAAAAUUUAUAAAUAAAUCUCAACUUUACAAA
This is a long non-coding RNA of Haemorhous mexicanus (house finch), 6557 nucleotides long. RefSeq lists it as uncharacterized. The transcript has 2 exons. NCBI's taxonomy places the organism in Eukaryota, Metazoa, Chordata, Aves, Passeriformes, Fringillidae. The record is from RefSeq and is a predicted model, not a curated record.